GAUUUUUGAGUUUUUUUUUACCCAUUUUAGAAUUGAUCCUUCUUCUUCUGAA
Molecule: small RNA, 52 nt
Filed under: Arabidopsis thaliana (thale cress)
Lineage: Eukaryota; Viridiplantae; Streptophyta; Magnoliopsida; Brassicales; Brassicaceae
Description: ATSL291220
Source: RNAcentral